This 497-nucleotide ribosomal RNA is filed under the name uncultured bacterium. RNAcentral describes it as "partial 16S ribosomal RNA". It matches the Rfam family "Bacterial small subunit ribosomal RNA", at positions 28 to 507 of the family's 1533-position model. The record is from RNAcentral.
GAUGAACGCUGGCGGCGUGCCUAAUACAUGCAAGUCGAGCGAACGGACGAGAAGCUUGCUUCUCUGAUGUUAGCGGCGGACGGGUGAGUAACACGUGGAUAACCUACCUAUAAGACUGGGAUAACUUCGGGAAACCGGAGCUAAUACCGGAUGAUAUUUUGAACCGCAUGGUUCAAAAGUGAAAGACGGUCUUGCUGUCACUUAUAGACGGAUCCGCGCUGCAUUAGCUAGUUGGUAAGGUAACGGCUUACCAAGGCAACGAUGCAUAGCCGACCUGAGAGGGUGAUCGGCCACACUGGAACUGGGACACGGUCCAGACUCCUACGGGAGGCAGCAGUCGGGAAUCUUCCGCAAUGGGCGAAAGCCUGACGGAGCAACGCCGCGUGAGUGAUGAAGGUCUUCGGAUCGUAAAACUCUGUUAUUAGGGAAGAACAUAUGUGUAAGUAACUGUGCACAUCUUGACGGUACCUAAUCAGAAAGCCACGGCUAACUACGUG